GCUGGCGGCGUGCCUAACACAUGCAAGUCGAACGAAGCAAUUGAAGGAAGUUUUCGGAUGGAAUUCGAUUGACUGAGUGGCGGACGGGUGAGUAACGCGUGGAUAACCUGCCUCACACUGGGGGAUAACAGUUAGAAAUGACUGCUAAUACCGCAUAAGCGCACAGUACCGCAUGGUACAGUGUGAAAAACUCCGGUGGUGUGAGAUGGAUCCGCGUCUGAUUAGCCAGUUGGCGGGGUAACGGCCCACCAAAGCGACGAUCAGUAGCCGACCUGAGAGGGUGACCGGCCACAUUGGGACUGAGACACGGCCCAAACUCCUACGGGAGGCAGCAGUGGGGAAUAUUGCACAAUGGGCGAAAGCCUGAUGCAGCGACGCCGCGUGAGUGAAGAAGUAUUUCGGUAUGUAAAGCUCUAUCAGCAGGGAAGAAAAUGACGGUACCUGACUAAGAAGCCCCGGCUAACUACGUGCCAGCAGCCGCGGUAAUACGUAGGGGGCAAGCGUUAUCCGGAUUUACUGGGUGUAAAGGGAGCGUAGACGGCGAAGCAAGUCUGAAGUGAAAACCCAGGGCUCAACCCUGGGACUGCUUUGGAAACUGUUUUGCUAGAGUGUCGGAGAGGUAAGUGGAAUUCCUAGUGUAGCGGUGAAAUGCGUAGAUAUUAGGAGGAACACCAGUGGCGAAGGCGGCUUACUGGACGAUAACUGACGUUGAGGCUCGAAAGCGUGGGGAGCAAACAGGAUUAGAUACCCUGGUAGUCCACGCCGUANACGAUGAAUGCUAGGUGUUGGGGGGCAAAGCCCUUCGGUGC
This 809-nucleotide ribosomal RNA is filed under the name uncultured organism. RNAcentral's name for it is "SSU rRNA". It matches the Rfam family "Bacterial small subunit ribosomal RNA", at positions 35 to 846 of the family's 1533-position model. The record is from RNAcentral.